Oxyura jamaicensis (ruddy duck) is the source of this 5293-nucleotide long non-coding RNA. RefSeq lists it as uncharacterized. The record is from RefSeq and is a predicted model, not a curated record. Lineage: Eukaryota; Metazoa; Chordata; Aves; Anseriformes; Anatidae. The transcript is spliced from 4 exons.
CAGAAGGUUCACUGGCAAUGUGUUGUGAGGUAAUCUCACCAUGGAGGAAGCACGAGGUUGACUAAUGACUGAUACUUUUGCAGAUUUCAGAGUGUGCGUGCAGCUGUAACCUGCAGCCUUUUUUUGAUUCAUGAAAGCCAUUUCAACUGUACAUUGCAUUUCCACAUGAAAUACUGCCUGCCUAACAUGUUCAGGGUGAGCAAUCCAUUAUUUUUGCAUAAAAGCAUUCACCUUAGCUAAGAAGUGUGUAGGAAAAAACCUUGCAUAUAACUGAGGAGUUAAUAAUGAAAAAGCCAUUGGUGUAAUUCUAGACGAUUUGUUUUUACUUGCCUUCCUUUUGCCUUCCUUUCUCAGUUUGUAUUUUGCACAGACCAAGAGGGCAUAAUGAGUUGAACAUCCCAUUGCCUACUUGUCAGUUUGAAACUAAGCAGGAGUUAUUUGAGAAAGGGAAAUGAAACUUUACUCAAGAGCUAGAUCUGUCCAAACCUUGGUUACUAACAAGCCAGUCAUUGCCUGAGAAUAGGAAGAAUAAUAAGAAAGAGAGAAGUAAAUCCAGUAGCGUUUUGAUGUUAAAUAAUAAUAAUAAUAACAAUUCCCAAAUUCUUAAAAUGCUCUUGACGUGAUGAAGACUCUGAAAGAAGGAGCUCUUCACUUAUUUUGUUUGCCUGCAUAUGUAACCCAAGAAAGAUCGUUCUGUAUUUUCUUCCAUUUUAACUGAUACCAGGCUGAAGGACUACUCUGUAAAAGCAGAAACAAACUGCAGGUGUUUCCCUCUCUUAGGAAGAUUGCUUUUAGAGUAUCUACAGGUAUUUUCAGUAAUGGUUAAACUCUCAUGUAGUCAUACCAGGUGGUGACAGUGCACAAUGAUGCUUAGGCUAAAGUAGUGAGCUAAGUUAAAAUAGUAGGCCUCUGAGGACAGCGACGUACUGUGAGAUUUUGUUGAUCCAUGUACCCCAACUGUUUCCUCCUUAGACUUUUUAGUGGUAUCAGCUGUCUCUGACAGGGUUCAUCAGUGCGUGGAGAAAGGGCAAGCAUCACGGUUAGUAGAAAAGACUCUGUAAUUACUUCAUUUCAUUCCAGCUAUGUGUCUAAAGAGAAAUCUGUGUAAUUUCAUUCACUUGUGCUUAGCUGUGCUUGAUUCUUAUUAAGGAACUCUGUGAAGAGAAUUGAAACAAUCUGGUGGCAUUGCUGUUAUUUCCUACUGCCAUUUUCACCUUUGGGUGACUUAAAAUUAAGAGUCUCUCAAGUCAGACACCACAAUUAUUUUAUCUCCUAAGAAUUUAUAUUCAAUAGAUGUAAUCCUAAGACUGGGGUCAAGGAACAAUGUUUUGUGUGUGUUGCUACACUGGAACACGUUUAUUAAAUGAAUGUUUACUGGCUUCUUAAAGACUUAAUUAGCAGAUUGUUGGCAGGUUCUGUGGAUUUCUGCCUUCACUUAAAGACUGCAGUAUGGCUUUAGCAAAGUUGCUCAUCAUGUUUUUAAUGUAAUUCUUGAAAAACAGAAAGUGAACAUGCUGUUUUUGUUGAAGAAGAAAUAUUUUGCCAAGACACAUCAAUACUAAAAAAGCCUUGCAGGAGUGCCUCUGAAGUCCAGCCAGGGCUUACCAGCUGUGUCCUACCAGUGCUGGGGCUGCCUCCUGUCCUGGGCGAGAGCUGGGAGGACACCAUCUCCCCUAUCACGUCCUGCUUUUCAUGAGGAUGGAGCACAGGAAGAAGCCGCCACAUGCACUGGUCAGGUACUGAUUGGGCACUGUACACCACGGCGCUGCAGCCACUGCCUGCACCCCCGACCUGUAGACACAGUUUGUUUCAGACUGACAGAAAGGAAGGGAAGGACAGGCAUAAAGCCACAGUCUUCUGAUUUCCACAGAAAACUGUUGUGCUGACAGAAGUUUCCUUUGCAAAAUGCCCAAAGAGGUUUUAUUUUCAUUUUUGGUUGUGUGAAAUGAAAGCAGGCUUUUCUCCAAAAAUUGCGAAGUGGAUCUGUUGCUCUCCAAGCUUGCUCUCCGGCUCAGAGGAAACAUUUGCUCACUAAGCCUGAGUGCCACUGGCAGUAACAAUGCAAAAGAAACAAUGUGUGCCUCCCAUAUCAGUGAUCUGCUGUCCCCAGUCUCGUCUUGGCAUACCAAUGGCUACACAGGGAUCUGUGCACUUAUUGGCAUUUUUCUUUCUGUCUUUUUUUUUUUUUUCCCCCCCACAGUUGCUUCUAUUUAUUUUUUUAGGGAUUCACUUGCUCUCCCUCGAUCAUUGGAGUUGGGGCAACUCCAAGGUAGCGCAUAUAAUGUAGCUUUCAGACAAAUGAGGAUUCCUGAAAGUCCCACUGUGGGGAAUAGAGUUAAAUAAUACAGCCACUUUUGAAAAAAUUGUCCUCAAAAUUGAAGUGUAUUUCCAAACUCAGUGCACCACAGUGCCAAGGUGUUCUUGUGCCUGUAUUCAAGUUCAAAUUUAAUCAAUCCGAAGGUACCUGAUUUGUUUUUAGCUGAUAGUUCCAAAAUUUGGAUUAUUUUCAUCUCCUACAUCAAUCAGUCAGUAGAAUUUCCUGAGGGCAUCUGAGCUCCCCUUCCUGCAUUGCUGGUCUCUGUACAUCCCCUGGGACUGUGCUCAGCUACACCUGUAGCUCCCACAGCGCAAGCAUCAGCCAGGUUUGUUUCGGUCUCCUUUCAUUUCACUAGGAUGCGGGAGGCAGAAGGCUCAGCCACACGAGACAGGAGGGACUGCAGCUUGUGGCAGAACCCAGGCUGGAUAUGAACGUUUACUGCAAGAAUCAGAUUAACUCAGUAAACAUUAGAUGCAAGGAGUAUUUGCAGUUACUUUUUACAGUAUAGUGUAUUUCAUGGUGGCUGAUGUACCACGAUCUUGAAAGAUUUUAGGCUAUACCUCCUUAAGCCACAUUCAUCCAUGAUGCAUCUUAAUGUCACCCUUUGAAUACUGUGGCUUAUGUUUUCACCAGAAUCGUGCUUCAGAGAUGUUUUCGAUUGCAGUUGAUGUAAGGUCUGAGAGUAACAGAUGGAACUUAGAACACUUUUCAGGUUUAGCUGGAUUAAAGAUACCAGAUAACAUGGAAUACACUCAUUUAAUACUUAACAUCUUGAAAUUCAUCUCCUUAUUCCACUUAAAGCUGUUGCUUAAAAUACAGUUUAUAUAAGCCAGAAUUUAGGAGAGUGAAUACAUCAGCUAUUUCUGUUUCUUUACAUAUUUAAAUGGAAAUUGUCAAGAAUACACCAAGUUAGGCAGGCAACCGUCCUCCACUGAAGGCAUUUGCUCUGUCAGGAGAUCUUCCUUCUGCUAGAUGAGAUGCUUAUAUUAAGGCUUAUUCAUGGAUAAGAUCUUGUAUCCUACGAUAUUAAUACCUCUUAAGAUAACUGACUGGCUGGUGCCCGUACAGUCUGUUCAGUCUGUGUCAGAGAGCCUGUCCAGGACAAUUCAUCUUCACUGCUGAGAGCAACUUACAGUCUUGGAAGUCCUUCCUCUACCUUAACAACAAGAGAAGAUGUACAGGGAGAAAGCAAAAUGCAAAAAAUCCCUAUGAAACACAGCCCUCCGAUCCUAUCUUGCUGGAGUGUAUAGGAGAAAAAGAAAAAAAAGAAAAAAAAAAAAGUCUUUUAUAACUUCUGCGUUAUAAAAUUCUGCUAAUGAGCCGGGCUGCGCUGCCUGACCACCUCAGCUUAAGGGAAGCACUGAGCGGUGUCGUUACUACCUGAGCAACCGUGCCCCAUCUCAGCAGACAGAUAGUGUCCGAGCCCCACGCCGAAACCACCGACGAGCUGUGCUCACAGCACGGGCUGAAGAUCAAAUGCUGCUGCUGCAAACGCAGCUGCUCUUUACAUGCACCAGCAAAAGCUCCUCUGCAGAGCCGGGAGAGUUCAAAAGACUGAGCUCACUUCACAAGCCCAGAAAUAUCGAUUUUCGUGUGAGAUAGUGAUAGGGCUCUUGACAUGCCUAACUCAAAGAAGAAUUGCAACAUUAUCCCGGAACACGAGAACAUGGCUUCCCAAAACAACCAAAAGCCACCUAAUGAGAUUAUUUCCCCAGCUCCAAGGAAGCGCGAGACAACCUACCAGGGCCUUUGCUGGCCAGAGGCAGCAAACUUGGGAUGCGCUCCCACAUCCUGCGGCACGGGGCUGGCGAAGGAUGGCAGCACACAACCAGGACAUUUUGCAAGGGUGAAAUGCUCUACGUGUUGUGGGACAUCAGGAAGUCUGAGCAGAGCCCGGCACUCGCAGGGGGCUGCCCUGAGCACUCUCCAGUUCCCCCCACUUUGGCUGGAGCAGAGCCUUGGAGGCAUCCAUCCACACUGCCUGAACAGCCUUUACGUUUUGCUGUUAUUUUAGAACAGGUGGGAGGUGAUGGAUUCCCCCAGACAGUUCUCCUUUCUGAGUGUCACAUCUUCACACAAAUGCGCACCAUCAGUCCUCCAGCCUGGGGUGCCUGUGAUGCACUGAAAUAAUGUGCUCCAAGGAAGAGGAUAAUCUCCUACACUGUGGAUAUCUUGCUACUCCAGUGUUCUCAUGUCCUGGCAGCGACUGGCAAUAGAAUAAGUUACUGAGGAAUUAUUUGACAUCUUUGUGAAUUUGGUGCUCCAGUUGGAGACAGUCUGCUGCGUGCUGAGACGAGAUGCACAGAAUGGCUGAGAACUGCUAAAAUAUGAGCUUCCUUCAGAACUUACCUGGUGCUAUGCAGCUUUUACUGCACAACAUGCAUUUUAUAUAUCUGUCUAAUGAAAAACCUUUUGAAAAGAGCAUGUUUCAGUUUUUAGAGUGAUUAUUUGUGUUUUUUAUUGUCCACAUAUAUAUGAAAUUCUUUGGAGAAGGUAAGUGUAGUUCCUACAGAAUCAGUCUUCUGCGGUGAGCAUACAGCACAGAAAGCAAGUAUGGCAGAGCAGGAGGUUUGUCGUACGACUUUGUUAUAGCACGUAUGUAUAUAUACACAUACAGUAUAUAUGUUUGAAAGACUCAGUGACUCACACAGCCCUUUCUGUUGCUCCCCUGCUGUGUUUCAAGCACCCACCUGCAGUGUGAAUAACUCCAUGAAUGACUGUUACUAUAACUGUAAGUUUGGGUCACUGGGUUUGUGACAUGUAAGACCUAUUUUCAAUCUCUUAUAGGUAAUAAUUAUUUUAUAUGGUAUAAAAAAGAAUUGUGAGGCUUGCUUCCUAUGUUUAUAUGAUGUAUGAAAUUCUUGUGUAGACUGGCCACUAUGACAAAACAUUAUGAAUCACUUCAUUUACUGAUGAAAUGGAGAUCCUCAUGGUUAAUGACAAAAACAGAGGAGAAAGAAGAUUGUACCUGCCAGA